AGAAAGCGUUGUUUCAGUGUGAAGAAAGAAACAGAAAAAGCAAGGAGAGGCAAAGCUUGUAUGUAAAGCUUGUAUGUAAUGUAAAGAAAUCAGAAGGAAUGAUAUAAACACCAUGUAUAACAAAAUAUUUUCCAAUCCACCACCAAGCUACUGGGUCUUGUCUUUCCAUUCUUUUCAAUCCGGUGUACAUUAUCCAUCCUAUGCAGAAACAAUACAGAAGUUGCACUUACAAACCCAUGCCCUUCCCACUCAUAAGACUCUGGAAACCCAGACCAAGCAGCCAAUUACUUCAGUACACUGCUACACUGUGCUACAUUCUGGCACAGCAAACACACACUAUGCUUCUUUGCAUUUCUUCCAUUUGCCUCAAGGUUUUGUUCUAAUGAGUAAUUCUUCCUGCAAUAAAGUAUUAACAUCUCACAGGAAUUCCCCUGCACUCCCCAAGAAGGGAAAACAUUGUCCAUCUCAGUGUGCUCUGAGCUUAACUCAGACAAGUUUUCCAGUAAGUGCUUUGCAUUUUCAAUAUCAGAACCAGUUAUAAUGGAAAACUCAGAAGCUUAGGGCUUUCCAAAUUGGCUCAGUAAUACCACCCUGCUUCGUGGUAUGUAUCACUGGUCUACCACUCAAGGAAGAGUCAAGAGUUAUUGCUUCACUUUCUUGCCCAGAUUUUGCCUUCUGGCCAACACAUCUGUCUCUCAUCAAGCUUUCUGACCAUUCCAGAAGCACUCUAGAACAUCUCCAGAUUAUCCCACCACAAAAUCUGUACAAAGCAAACAGAACUCCACAUCACGUGCCAUUUACAGCUGCAUUACAUCGCAUCUUUCUCCAUUGCUGCCUGCAGAUCUAAGGAGCAAAUGGCAAAACCACAAAGGACUGAAGAAGGUGCUGAAAACUCAGAGCUGCAUCUCAAAAAGAGAACACUGCCCAGGCUCCUGGUAAAUUCGAGCAUCAUUAAGAAUAUUGCUCCUUUAUUUGAUCUUUGGUGCAAGCUGAGCAGUUCUCUUGAUCCUCCUCUUACCUAAUAUCUAUGUAAGCUACAUUAGACUGGAGCUAACUACUAGCAAAAUUACUGCAGGAUUUCAGGGAUUAAAUCCCAGGGUUCUGCAAAACACAAAGGCAAAUAGAGAUCUGCAUUAUAUUCUCAUUACUCGGCUCUCCCCCCACAAAUGUGAUUCUACUUGGAGUUUUCCAUUUUGAUUUUUGGGAGAACAGCUAAGACAGUGGCAGGGGAAGAGAAAGACGACUAUCGGUGCAAUCAACAGAGACUUCUUUCUUUUAAACCAGGCUGGUAAUUACACUCUUAGUAGGAUGUGGAAUUCUGCUGGUAUUGUUUGAAAGACCUGUUAUGAAAGGUGAUUGAGAAUUGGCAGGAACAGAUUUUAUGUGGGCAACAAUAUGCAUUUGCAGGCUGCAGAUAGGUCUCAUUUGUCUCUCCUAUUUUUUUUUAAUAGAAAAGCAGCAUCCCUGGCAAAAUUACUUCUUUGGAUUUGCUUACAUUUGACAUCCUAAUCCUUCACAGUAUUGUGGAACUUUUGUUUUCUGAUUGUUUUGUAUCUGAAUCUGGCAUAAGGAAAAAGCAAAUAGAACCAAGAGGUGAAAUAAAGUUAUUAUUUCCAGCUAAAGCAAAACUCUCUUAUCAGCAAAAGGAUAAGUACCACAGAUGAGAAGAAUCUCAUAGAAUCACAGAAUAUCCCAAGUCUUAUGGGGCCCAUAAGGAUCACUGAGUCCAAAUCCUGGCUUCACAAAGGACCACCCAAACAUCAGACUGAUUUAUGAAGUCACGGCAUCACUUCAACAAAGCCCAGGUAGUGAAGUAUUUGAAACAAUAACUAAUAACUUUGAGGACGUCAGGGACUCUCUAACAGCGUAUUUCUCUUCUGUCCAGUUUUACUGCUAGAAGUAACAAAGUACAUGGGCAGGGGAUGAACCAGGCAAACAAACCACUGCCACUGAAAAACUUCACAGUUUUCUAUGGACUCUAGAAGCUAAAUUUCAUGACAGACUUACAGAGUUUUAAAACACAAAGUAAGCUUAUGCAUUUUCCCCAAACUGCCUGUUUCGUAUAUGCUUGGCUGGCUAUUUUCAGAUGAUCUCCUUCUGCUGUUCUCCCCUGUAGGGCCAUUCUGAAGAUCUACCCGAUGGGACAACCAGGACAAAGCAGCAUCACACAGCUACAAUAGGUUCAGGAAACAUCUGUGUUCUUAUAUGGCUACAAUGCAGAACUGAAUGUGGACUUAUGUUAACACCUAGCAAUAUUCAUGAAGUGAUCAGGCCAAAUAUUUCAGUUUAAAUACUUACUAUCCAACUUUCCAUCUUCUACUAUUUGCAGUAGCAGUGUUUUCGAUUUGGCACUUAGUUCACUGUAAAAUAAACAGAAGUGUGUUAGGUCUCUGCA
This is a non-coding RNA of Coturnix japonica (Japanese quail), 2395 nucleotides long. Lineage: Eukaryota; Metazoa; Chordata; Aves; Galliformes; Phasianidae. The record is from RefSeq and is a predicted model, not a curated record.